UGUUUAUUUUUUUCGUAAUGA
Molecule: non-coding RNA, 21 nt
Filed under: Caenorhabditis elegans
Lineage: Eukaryota; Metazoa; Nematoda; Chromadorea; Rhabditida; Rhabditidae
Source: RNAcentral